GAGAUCGGGAUAACACCUGGAAACAGAUGCUAAUACCGGAUAACAACAGAUGAUGCCUAUCAACUGUUUAAAAGAUGGUUCUGCUAUCACUCUUGGAUGGACCUGCGGUGCAUUAGCUAGUUGGUAGGGUAACGGCCUACCAAGGCGAUGAUGCAUAGCCGAGUUGAUAGACUGAUCGGCCACAUUGGGACUGAGACACGGCCCAAACUCCUACGGGAGGCAGCAGGA
This 228-nucleotide ribosomal RNA is filed under the name uncultured Lactobacillus sp. Its description in RNAcentral is "partial 16S ribosomal RNA". It matches the Rfam family "Bacterial small subunit ribosomal RNA", at positions 134 to 354 of the family's 1533-position model. Lineage: Bacteria; Bacillati; Bacillota; Bacilli; Lactobacillales; Lactobacillaceae. The record is from RNAcentral.